UUAAAUGCUAAGAAAAGAAAUAGUAAAAGUAGUUAAUCUUAAACAGAGAGUUUCCGAUUGGUGAGAGGAGCAAUAGAUUUUACUUUGAACACAUCUUUGAGCAGGACUCUGAAAGAGUAGAAAUACUUUAUUAGGAGCUUUCCGGAAUCCUUGCACCCGUUAUAGUGCUAGAGUAUAAUGAUUUGUUUUAUUGUACUUAAAGAGGUUAGUGUCGUGAGGCAUUAAUGAACAGAGGUGGAACCACGAGAGUUAACUCCCGUCCUCUAG
RNAcentral lists this non-coding RNA (267 nucleotides) under Clostridioides difficile T5. Its description in RNAcentral is "T-box". It matches the Rfam family "T-box leader". Rfam says of the family: Uncharged tRNA acts as the effector for transcription antitermination of genes in the T-box leader family. T-boxes are found upstream of many aminoacyl-tRNA synthetase genes and some amino acid biosynthetic genes usually in Gram-positive bacteria. The anticodon of a specific tRNA base pairs to a specifier sequence within the T-box motif, and the NCCA acceptor tail of the tRNA base pairs to a conserved bulge in the T-box antiterminator hairpin. RNAcentral also lists the same sequence under 3 other names. The record is from RNAcentral. Lineage: Bacteria; Bacillati; Bacillota; Clostridia; Peptostreptococcales; Peptostreptococcaceae.